GGUCGGUUAGCUCAGUUGGUUAGAGCACUGCGUUCACAUCGCAGGGGUCGCUGGUUCGAGUCCAGCACCGACCACCA
RNAcentral lists this transfer RNA (77 nucleotides) under Dehalococcoidia bacterium. RNAcentral's name for it is "tRNA-Val". It matches the Rfam family "tRNA". Rfam says of the family: Transfer RNA (tRNA) molecules are approximately 80 nucleotides in length. Their secondary structure includes four short double-helical elements and three loops (D, anti-codon, and T loops). Lineage: Bacteria; Bacillati; Chloroflexota; Dehalococcoidia. The record is from RNAcentral.